CAGAAACAGAAAGAAAUAGAACGGCCCUUUAAAAAAAGAAGGAUAAAUGUGGCCGUGUGUCACGACUCAAGCCGAAGUUGGCUCACUUGUAUCGGAGGUGUUAUUGUGCUCUGGACCGUGUUACCCUGUGUUUUGGUUUGGUCAGUGUUUUCCGCCCUGUGUUUUUGGGUUGGUCUGUGUUUUGGGUUGGUCUGUGUUUUGGGUUGGUCUGUGUUUUGGGUUGGUCUGUGUUUUGGGUUGGUCAGUGUUUUGGGUUGGUCUGUGUUUUGGGUUGGUCAGUGUUUUGGGUUGGUCUGUGUUUUGGGUUGGUCUGUGUUUUCCGCCCUGUGUUUUGGGUUGGUCAGUGUUUUCCGCCCUGUGUUUUGGGUUGGUCAGUGUUUUCCUCCCUGUGUUUUGGGUUGGUCUGUGAUUUCCGCCCUGUGUUUUGGGUUGGUGAGUAUUUUUCACCCUGUGUUUUGGGUUGGUCUGUGUUUUGGGUUGGUCUGUGUUUUCCGCCCUGUGUUUUGGGUUGGUCUGUGUUUUCCGCCCUGUGUUUUGGGUUGGUCUGUGUUUUCCGCCCUGUGUUUUGGGUUGGUCUGUGUUUUCCGCCCUGUGUUUUGGGUUGGUCUGUGUUUUGGGUUGGUCUGUGUUUUGGGUUGGUCUGUGUUUUGGGUUGGUCUGUGUUUUGGGUCGGUCUGUGAUUUCCGCCCUGUGUUUUGGGUUGGUCUGUGUUUUGGGCCCUGUGUUUUGGGUUGGUCAGUGUUUUCCUCCCUGUGUUUUGGGUUGGUCAGUGUUUUCCUCCCUGUGUUUUGGGUUGGUCAGUGUUUUCCGCCCUGUGUUUUGGGUUGGUCAGUGUUUUCAGCCCUGUGUUUUGGGUUUGUCAGUGUUUUGGGUUGGUCAGUGUUUUGGGUUGGUCUGUGUUUUGGGUUGGUCAGUGUUUUGGGUUGGUCUGUGUUUUGGGUUGGUCAGUGUUUUGGGUUGGUCAGUGUUUUCCGCCCUGUGUUUUGGGUUGGUCUGUGUUUUGGGCAUGCCCAUUUUGUGCCGGAAUAAAGCGCAUUUCUCCGUGAACCCUCUGCUCUCUGCGCCUGAUUCCUACCUUCCCCUCCUAGUCAUCCAUUUCUUUGCCCUGACAUAGUCCCAGUCGGUAUUAAAUAGAACGUUGUGGGCCCUGCCCACCUGUGGGGAAGACAACCCAUUAUUACCUUGUUUAUUGGCUCACAGCAAGAACCUUUUUCAAACAAAAUAUUCUUGUUGUCGGCUUGUUUUAGUCAAUUGCAAAACUGUAUUUUAGAAAAGUACAACAUGUCUGAAGAUGACUUUUCAACGUUGACUGCUCCCGAGUGUUGACACUAAAAAGUAAUCUUGUAGUGCUUACCUCAUGCUGCUUUUCAUGACGGCGCUAACCUUAGCCAUGUGUGUGCUAGCUAGCUAGCUACCAAGCCGAACAUUAAGCUAGCCAAGACCAACAACACAAAGAAACAGACUAUAAAGUGGUGUUAGAAAUGGACUAUAUUAAAC
Molecule: long non-coding RNA, 1497 nt
Filed under: Oncorhynchus mykiss (rainbow trout)
Lineage: Eukaryota; Metazoa; Chordata; Actinopteri; Salmoniformes; Salmonidae
Description: lncRNA (ENSOMYG00000070671.1)
Source: RNAcentral